CUAUCGCUAGUCUGGGUCGGGGGUUCCUAUAUGGAACCCCAGAAAUACGACUCAACAGUAUAAUUCAAAGCAGCGGAACGAGCAAGACCACGUCUGCAAGUCUUCACUGCAGCACUGUUUUCAUUGGAAAAGUGGAAACAAUCCAGAAUGUUCCACGUUAAGAGGACGUUGACGUUGACAGAGAAAGACCAAAGGAACUUUUGUGACUUCAUCCAAAUGUCAUAACAAAAGUGGAUUUACUUAUAUAUGGCUAUAUGUCAAGUGUUACUUCCUUUUGUGACCUCUUGAGGAUGCUUCCAGCUCUGAGAUUCUGCGACACU
This is a long non-coding RNA of Mesoplodon densirostris (Blainville's beaked whale), 320 nucleotides long. RefSeq lists it as uncharacterized. Lineage: Eukaryota; Metazoa; Chordata; Mammalia; Artiodactyla; Ziphiidae. The record is from RefSeq and is a predicted model, not a curated record. The transcript is spliced from 3 exons.